RNAcentral lists this ribosomal RNA (253 nucleotides) under uncultured bacterium. Its description in RNAcentral is "partial 16S ribosomal RNA". It matches the Rfam family "Bacterial small subunit ribosomal RNA", at positions 524 to 776 of the family's 1533-position model. The record is from RNAcentral.
UACGUAGGGUGCGAGCAUUAAUCGGAUUUAUUGGGCGUAAAGGGCGCGUAGGCGGAGAUAAAAGUCGUAUGUGAAAUCCCGGGGCUCAACCUCGGAACGGCAUAUGAAACUCUAUCUCUAGAGGGUAGGCGGAGAAAAUGGAAUUCCACAAGUAGCGGUGAAAUGCGUAGAUAUGUGGAAGAACACCAGUGGCGAAGGCGGUUUUCUAGCUUAUACCUGACGCUGAUGCGCGAAAGCAAGGGGAUCAAACAGG